Molecule: long non-coding RNA, 147 nt
Organism: Melanotaenia boesemani (Boeseman's rainbowfish)
Lineage: Eukaryota; Metazoa; Chordata; Actinopteri; Atheriniformes; Melanotaeniidae
Exons: 2
Source: RefSeq, a predicted model, not a curated record
UAAUCUUGAAAUUUGGCAUAAUUAGGGGCGUCCACCCCCCUCAGCUCCACCUUUUUGCCCAUUUUGGAUUUUCCAGGAAUAACAACACAUGUGACGCUGCUAAGAUGGCGAUGGUGGAACCUGCCCAAUGAGCUUAAUUCAGCUCUU